GAUGAACGCUGGCGGCGUGCCUAAUACAUGCAAGUCGAGCGAACGGACGAGAAGCUUGCUUCUCUGAUGUUAGCGGCGGACGGGUGAGUAACACGUGGAUAACCUACCUAUAAGACUGGGAUAACUUCGGGAAACCGGAGCUAAUACCGGAUAAUAUUUUGAACCGCAUGGUUCAAAAGUGAAAGACGGUCUUGCUGUCACUUAUAGAUGGAUCCGCGCUGCAUUAGCUAGUUGGUAAGGUAACGGCUUACCAAGGCAACGAUGCAUAGCCGACCUGAGAGGGUGAUCGGCCACACUGGAACUGAGACACGGUCCAGACUCCUACGGGAGGCAGCAGUAGGGAAUCUUCCGCAAUGGGCGAAAGCCUGACGGAGCAACGCCGCGUGAGUGAGGAGGGUCUUCGGAUCGUAAAACUCUGUUAUUAGGGAAGAACAUAUGUGUAAGUAACUGUGCACAUCUUGACGGUACCUAAUCAGAAAGCCACGGCUAACUACGUGCCAGCAGCCGCGGUAAUACGUAGGUGGCAAGCGUUAUCCGGAAUUAUUGGGCGUAAAGCGCGCGUAGGCGGUUUUUUAAGUCUGAUGUGAAAGCCCACGGCUCAACCGUGGAGGGUCAUUGGAAACUGGGAAACUUGAGUGCAGAAGAGGAAGUGGAAUUCCAUGUGUAGCGGUGAAAUGCGCAGAGAUAUGGAGGAACACCAGUGGCGAAAGGCGACUUUCUGGUCUGUAACUGACGCUGAUGUGCGAAAGCGUGGGGAUCAAACAGGAUUAGAUACCCUGGUAGUCCACGCCGUAAACGAUGAGUGCUAAGUGUUAGGGGGUUUCCGCCCCUUAGUGCUGCAGCUAACGCAUUAAGCACUCCGCCUGGGGAGUACGACCGCAAGGUUGAAACUCAAAGGAAUUGACGGGGACCCGCACAAGCGGUGGAGCAUGUGGUUUAAUUCGAAGCGACGCGAAGAACCUUACCAAAUCUUGACAUCCUUUGACAACUCUAGAGAUAGAGCCUUCCCCUUCGGGGGACAAAGUGACAGGUGGUGCAUGGUUGUCGUCAGCUCGUGUCGUGAGAUGUUGGGUUAAGUCCCGCAACGAGCGCAACCCUUAAGCUUAGUUGCCAUCAUUAAGUUGGGCACUCUAAGUUGACUGCCGGUGACAAACCGGAGGAAGGUGGGGAUGACGUCAAAUCAUCAUGCCCCUUAUGAUUUGGGCUACACACGUGCUACAAUGGACAAUACAAAGGGCAGCGAAACCGCGAGGUCAAGCAAAUCCCAUAAAGUUGUUCUCAGUUCGGAUUGUAGUCUGCAACUCGACUACAUGAAGCUGGAAUCGCUAGUAAUCGUAGAUCAGCAUGCUACGGUGAAUACGUUCCCGGGUCU
This 1372-nucleotide ribosomal RNA is filed under the name uncultured bacterium. RNAcentral's name for it is "bacterial SSU rRNA". It matches the Rfam family "Bacterial small subunit ribosomal RNA", at positions 28 to 1381 of the family's 1533-position model. The record is from RNAcentral.